ACCUGCAUUCGAAAGUGAUCAAGGUCUGGUGCGUGGCCUGGUCAUUGAUAGUGCAGGGAGAGGAAUUCUGAAAGCGUUUCCCGUGUUUGGUGGGUUUGCUCCUGUCCCUCCCAAACCCUGUAGCAUUCAGACA
This is a small nucleolar RNA of Anser brachyrhynchus (Pink-footed goose), 133 nucleotides long. Its record names the gene SNORA71. It matches the Rfam family "Small nucleolar RNA SNORA71". Rfam says of the family: The members of this family belong to the H/ACA class of snoRNAs which bind a number of proteins (including dyskerin, Gar1p and Nop10p) to form snoRNP complexes. The record is from Ensembl. Lineage: Eukaryota; Metazoa; Chordata; Aves; Anseriformes; Anatidae.